Molecule: small nuclear RNA, 164 nt
Organism: Nannospalax galili (Upper Galilee mountains blind mole rat)
Lineage: Eukaryota; Metazoa; Chordata; Mammalia; Rodentia; Spalacidae
Gene: U1
Rfam family: U1 spliceosomal RNA
About the family: U1 is a small nuclear RNA (snRNA) component of the spliceosome (involved in pre-mRNA splicing). Its 5' end forms complementary base pairs with the 5' splice junction, thus defining the 5' donor site of an intron. There are significant differences in sequence and secondary structure between metazoan and yeast U1 snRNAs, the latter being much longer (568 nucleotides as compared to 164 nucleotides in human).
Source: Ensembl
AUACUUACCUAGCAGGGGAGAUACCAUGAUCAUGUGUGUGUUUUCCUCAGGGUGAGGCUCAUUCAUUGACUUCUAGGUGUGCUGACCCCUGUGAACUCACCAAAUGUGGGAAACUCAACUGCUUAGUUUGUGGUAGUGGGAGACCAUGUUUGUGCUUUCUCCUU